Chinchilla lanigera (long-tailed chinchilla) is the source of this 660-nucleotide long non-coding RNA. RefSeq lists it as uncharacterized. The record is from RefSeq and is a predicted model, not a curated record. The transcript has 2 exons. Lineage: Eukaryota; Metazoa; Chordata; Mammalia; Rodentia; Chinchillidae.
ACUGAAGUGUACUGGCUGGGGGGAGGCAUUUUCCGCUACAGGAGGGGUCCAUGGAGGUACAGAACUUCUAAGUGAUAAAGGGCCACAAGGUCAGGCACUGGAGGCAGAAGUACACGGACAGUGUGCAGGGAAAUAGAUGAGCAAAGGUGCUGUGGAGAUGUAACAAGGGCUCGCACAUGUCAUAGUAUGAGCUCAACAAACAGAAGGGUACAAAAGUGGUGGGAAGUGGCUCCCCACAAAGCUAAGAAGACCAAAGUAUGUAAGGUCCUGAUCAACUACGAAUGCCUUUAUGUAGAGAAAUUCUGAUUGUAAAGUCAUCUCCAUUUCUAUUGGUUUAUCUUGUUGAGACACUCUGCUGUUUCAGAGCAAUUUUGCCAUGAUCGUUCAUCGCUGUUUCCUAGCUCUUCUCUUCCUUGCUCUGAUCUCUGCCUCAGAAACCGACGAUAAUUAUGAAGUCAAUAGUGUGCUGGACUGUAAAAAUGUAACGAUGUGUAGUUCUAAAAGUGCAUCUGGACAGUGCAUCUAUACUAGAGAGGUUAACAUGUGCGUCUUGCGUCUUAGGAAAACUCAAAGGGAACAAACCUUAAAGAAAUAGAAAUUAGGAAGACAUGAUGAUUGACUGCUUUGUCAUGUCAAUAAAGUUGGAGUUUGUCCAUCUCC